UGUACACGCUGUGACUAGCAUAUCAAUAAGCGGAGGAAAAGAAACUAACAAGGAUUCCCCUAGUAACGGCGAGUGAAGCGGGAAGAGCUCAAAUUUGAAAUCUUAAAGGGUUUCCCUUUACGAAUUGUAGUUUAAAGAAGUGUUUUCUGUUGAGGUUUUGGUAAAAGUUCUUUGGAAUAGGACAUCAUAGAGGGUGAGAAUCCCGUAUUUGACCUUUACUUUCAACUUUGUGAUACACUUUCAAAGAGUCGGAUUGUUUGGGAAUGCAGUCCAAAAUGGGUGGUAAAUUUCAUCUAAAGCUAAAUAUUGGCGAGAGACCGAUAGCGAACAAGUACCGUGAGGGAAAGAUGAAAAGAACUUUGAAAAGAGAGUUAAACAGUACGAUGAAAUUGUCAAAAGGGAAGCGUUUGACACCAGUGUUGUUUUUCUGAAAAUCAAUUAAAGAACUGUUUCUGCUAAGUUGUUUAGACUUUAUCAGCUAACUGUUUAGUUUUGAGCUUUUCUUUAAUGCACUUUUCAGUUAACAAGUCAACAUCAAUUUCUUUUGCUGUAAAAAAGCUUGAGGAAGGUGGCUUGAGAUUCGUCUUAAGUGUUUAUAGCCUCUUGCCUAUGCAGUCGGAGAGAUUGAGGUCUGCAGCGUAGAUCCUUCGGGGCUAAAUGCAUUUGUGCUAAGUUAUAGCAUUUUAUAGACAACUUGUUGACUAUGAUUUGUCUUGUAGCUUACUCGCUUAUGUUAUUUUACCUACGCUUAGGAUGUUGAUCUACAGAGCGAGAGU
RNAcentral lists this ribosomal RNA (776 nucleotides) under uncultured Neocallimastigales. Its description in RNAcentral is "partial large subunit ribosomal RNA". It matches the Rfam family "Eukaryotic large subunit ribosomal RNA", at positions 22 to 631 of the family's 3401-position model. Lineage: Eukaryota; Fungi; Neocallimastigomycota; Neocallimastigomycetes; Neocallimastigales. The record is from RNAcentral.